This 90-nucleotide transfer RNA is filed under the name Betaproteobacteria bacterium. RNAcentral's name for it is "tRNA-Ser". It matches the Rfam family "tRNA". Rfam says of the family: Transfer RNA (tRNA) molecules are approximately 80 nucleotides in length. Their secondary structure includes four short double-helical elements and three loops (D, anti-codon, and T loops). RNAcentral also lists the same sequence under 3 other names. The record is from RNAcentral. Lineage: Bacteria; Pseudomonadati; Pseudomonadota; Betaproteobacteria.
GGAGAGAUGGCCGAGUGGUCGAAGGCGCUUGACUCGAAAUCAAGUAUACGUUUACGCGUAUCUAGGGUUCGAAUCCCUAUCUCUCCGCCA